UCCUCGUACACAAGUGGAAGCGGGUCUCGCGCCGCGUAGAGUCGUUUCUCGAGAGCCUUGGUUGUCAUAUCUGACGAGAAUUAAAAGAUUGCACUGAGAAAACAUACAUAAUUAUCUGUUUUGCUCAACAAAAAUACUUGGGACAGAAUGUUCCGCGCUUGAAGAUGGAUAUGACCUUCUGCUCUGAGAAAACGGACCUCGGACCAUUCAGUUUGUGGAGUUUUUUUGGUAGUUUUCUCAGUUAUAAACUACAGGUGAUCCGGACGCGUUCAGAUUCCAGGAUCUUCUCAGAAAAAACACAAACCUCUCUGAGUCAUGCUGUCUCCCAUGUAUGCAGACAGCUCAGUCAUCAUGGAGAGAGCGCCGCCCUUGCGGAAAGGAGGGAGAGUGCAACCUCAGGGCCACAGACUGCGCUCUCAUCCUCCCACCAGCGGAAGCAGUGUUUGUGCCAACCCCACCUACUUUCAUACUGUGUAUGACAUGAAUGAUGAAGCAAGCCCAGUUGACUCGUUUGACUAUAGCAAAACCAAUGGAGGGGAAACCGUAGUGACGGAUGGGACGCUUUACUCUUUGAUGCCCAGUGACUCUCUGGUUCCUCCUAUCAGACGGAGAGGAGGCCUAGUUGACCACCGUGAUGUCAUCAAGGCACACCAAUCCCAUAAACUGCAGAGCACUCCACAGGCACAACGGAAACAAUGGGAGGCAGGUCAUGUUGGUGUGUUUGUGGAGAGUGUGUGUAUGGUAUGGACACACUGAAGGACACCGUGAUGACCCCUGCUUCACUUGGACCCUGUGUGUGCAGUUGUGUCUGAAAGCAGUCUCUGGUGUGUAGAAAAAUAUGGCGUGUGUUUUUAUGUGUUUGCGUCACGGUGGGACCAAGUGAACAGUGAAUGUAGAGUGGCAGUGGAAUCAAGUCACGAUUUCUGUUGCACUUUAGGGGUGUGGAGGCUUCCACUCUCAUCGCUCACCCACUCAAUCUGGCAGCCGUAGCAGCGGGGAGACGCGAGAUAACAGGAGCAGGAAAAAACGAACGCUCAGCACACUGGCUAGAUGCAUGGAUGGAUGGAAAAAAGGAAGGAUGGAGGGAAGAGGGAUGGAGAAAUGGAUGGAGGGAUCGAUGGGCUGACGUGGACGCAGUGCUCUUGGCCAGACUCAUUCACCAUCUCUCCUGCUUACUCAUAACUUCCCAUCCACCUCUGAUCACACCUCCUGCUUUUAAAAUCAUUUCCUGCCAGUAAUAUGCUCUUUUCAUUUUCUCUCUUUUAGUCUGCAGUGCUGUCUAUUCUUUUGAACCACAUGAAUCGUCAGCAUUUACGUCAUUUACUUUGAAUAUGAUUCAUUUAUUCUGGUUAAAAAUCUACUAGUCCAUAAUGAAAUAAUAGCUAUAUUUUAAAAUAUAUAAACAAAAUAUGUAAUAUAUAAUAAAAAUAUAUAUAAAAAAACUGAAAUGAUGCAAAUUUUAAACCUAUAAAUAUCAAAAGAAAAAUGCUUUUUAGCUCCAGAUGGUGUAUAUACGACAUCUGGCAGCAGUGCCUGGUUAACUAACCAUAUCUUGACCUCCUAGUUUUUGCUUAAAUCUUUCACCCUCUUCUGUCAAAGAGUUGUCACACUCAGAUUAGGAAUUAAAAGAGUAUGAUGGAUUGAACGACUCUGCAUUCAUGUUCACACCUCCUAUGUUAUUUUUCUCCCGUUCCCUGUUGUGGAUUGCAGUGGCCCAUUUUGGCAGCAUAUCAGUGCCAGUCUCAGCGCAAAUGCCAUAUAAACAUUAUUGUUAAAGUGAUAGAUCACCCUAAAAUGAAAAUCAUUUACUCACCCUCAUGUCAUUGCAGACCCCUUUGUGUUUCUUUCUUCUAUGAAACACAAGGAAGAUAUUUUGAAGAAUGUUGGUAACCAACUGGGUCCUCCAUAGUAUUUUUUUGUAUUUACAAUAAUACUAAGGAAUUCAAUGGAACCUAAAGCUGUCAAAAUAUCUUCCUUGUGUUCUACAGAGGAAAGUCAUACAGGUUUGGAACAACCAGCAAACAGCAUACGCUGUUCUGU
Carassius gibelio (silver crucian carp) is the source of this 2040-nucleotide long non-coding RNA. RefSeq lists it as uncharacterized. The record is from RefSeq and is a predicted model, not a curated record. NCBI's taxonomy places the organism in Eukaryota, Metazoa, Chordata, Actinopteri, Cypriniformes, Cyprinidae. The transcript is spliced from 5 exons.